This 301-nucleotide ribosomal RNA is filed under the name uncultured bacterium. RNAcentral's name for it is "partial 16S ribosomal RNA". It matches the Rfam family "Bacterial small subunit ribosomal RNA", at positions 509 to 807 of the family's 1533-position model. The record is from RNAcentral.
CAGCAGCCGCGGUAAAACGUAGGGUGCGAGCGUUAGUCGGAAUUACUGGGCGUAAAGCGUGCGCAGGCGGCUUUGCAAGACAGAUGUGAAAUCCCCGGGCUCAACCUGGGAACUGCAUUUGUGACUGCAAGGCUAGAGUACGGUAGAGGGGGAUGGAAUUCCGCGUGUAGCAGUGAAAUGCGUAGAUAUGCGGAGGAACACCAAUGGCGAAGGCAAUCCCCUGGACCUGUACUGACGCUCAUGCACGAAAGCGUGGGGAGCAAACAGGAUUAGAUACCCCGGUAGUCCCUGUCUCUUAUAC